CCUACGGGGGGCUGCAGUGGGGAAUAUUGCACAAUGGGGGAAACCCUGAUGCAGCAACGCCGCGUGAGCGAAGAAGGCCUUCGGGUCGUAAAGCUCUGUCCUAAGGGAAGAAGCAUGACGGUACCUUAGGAGGAAGCCCCGGCUAACUACGUGCCAGCAGCCGCGGUAAUACGUAGGGGGCGAGCGUCAUCCGGAAUUACUGGGCGUAAAGGGCGUGUAGGCGGCUAGGUAAGUCAGGUGUGAAAACUCUGGGCUCAACCCAGAGACUGCACCUGAAACUGCAUAGCUUGAGGGCAGGAGAGGAAAGUGGAAUUCCUAGUGUAGCGGUGAAAUGCGUAGAUAUUAGGAGGAACACCAGUGGCGAAGGCGACUUUCUGGCCUGACCCUGACGCUGAGGCGCGAAAGCGUGGGGAGCAAACAGGAUUAGAUACCCGUGUAGUC
This 441-nucleotide ribosomal RNA is filed under the name uncultured bacterium. RNAcentral's name for it is "bacterial SSU rRNA". It matches the Rfam family "Bacterial small subunit ribosomal RNA", at positions 338 to 795 of the family's 1533-position model. The record is from RNAcentral.